RNAcentral lists this microRNA precursor (93 nucleotides) under Canis lupus dingo (dingo). RNAcentral describes it as "mir-8799 microRNA precursor family". It matches the Rfam family "mir-8799 microRNA precursor family". Lineage: Eukaryota; Metazoa; Chordata; Mammalia; Carnivora; Canidae. The record is from Rfam by way of RNAcentral.
GGGGGGAGCGCAGGAUCCUGGGCUGUGUCCCUUGGCGCCCUGGGCUCCGGGGCCUGCCGCUGGAAUCGCGCUCCCGGGGCCGCGCAGCCCCCU